RNAcentral lists this unclassified non-coding RNA (393 nucleotides) under fungal sp. RNAcentral describes it as "partial internal transcribed spacer region". The stretch from base 1 to 46 matches the Rfam family "Eukaryotic small subunit ribosomal RNA", at positions 1786 to 1831 of the family's 1831-position model. The record is from RNAcentral. Lineage: Eukaryota; Fungi.
AAGUCGUAACAAGGUUUCCGUAGGUGAACCUGCGGAAGGAUCAUUAACACGUUAUCCAACGUUAACCAAUGAGAAUCGUUUUCACCCUCCCUUCACGGAGAAUGAGCGGGGUUGGUAGAGGUGUUGUAAGGGAUGCUUCGGCGUCGAACCUCUAUUAACUAUUUUUGUGAAUAGAAAUAUUUGCAUUGACGCUGUAUCUUUUAGUGAAGAUUAAAACUCAUAGCAGGGCUGUCCUUUCAAGAGAACUGCUGUGGGAAACCAUUUAUUAACUUAUUUCACCUUUUUUGCUAGUUGACUUUUAUAUGUUGUUCUUUAUGCUUUUGCGUAAGGUUCACACGUUUAAUUAUUUGAACGUUAAAAUUACAACUCUUAGCAAUGGAUAUCUUGGUUCUC